Molecule: unclassified non-coding RNA, 391 nt
Filed under: soil metagenome
Description: partial contains 5.8S ribosomal RNA, internal transcribed spacer 2, and large subunit ribosomal RNA
Rfam family: 5.8S ribosomal RNA (bases 1-122)
Source: RNAcentral
GAUGAAGAACGUAGCGAAAUGCGAUACUUGGUGUGAAUUGCAGAAUCCCGUGAACCAUCGAGUCUUUGAACGCAAGUUGCGCCCGAAGCCACUAGGCCGAGGGCACGCCUGCCUGGGCGUCACACGCCGUUGCCCCCCCAUCUACUCCUUCGGGAUUGCGGGGGGGCGGAUGAUGGCCUCCUGUGCGCCUAACCGCGCGGUUGGCAUAAAUACCAAGUCCUCGGCGACGCACGCCACGACAAUCGGUGGUUGCGAAACCUCGGUUGCCCGUCGUGUGCGUUCGUCGCGCAUCGAGGGCUCGAAAAAAUGCUCGGCUCCGGCUGGGCUUUCAACGCGACCCCAGGUCAGGCGGGGUUACCCGCUGAAUUUAAGCAUAUCAAUAAGCGGAGGA